CAGAACUUGUACACAGUGGCUUGACAUUGAGAUCGGCAUCAAGCAAAAACAAUUUUUCGUCGCAAAAAUAAAAGGAACAACUAAAUUGGCUGUUUCUAGGGCAAUACGUGGAUGAAACUAGGUGUACGUUUCUAAAUGCAAGGGUAGUAUUUCAGUUGGAACCGAUUUAAAUACAGAGGAAUAAAGUAUUAUUGCCUACUGAUAAAAAAUAACCAG
Non-coding RNA from Biomphalaria pfeifferi, 216 nucleotides. The record is from the annotation of a GenBank genome assembly. NCBI's taxonomy places the organism in Eukaryota, Metazoa, Mollusca, Gastropoda, Planorbidae.